GGAAUAUUGGACAAUGGUCGAAAGACUGAUCCAGCCAUGCCGCGUGCAGGAUGAAGGUGCUCUGCAUUGUAAACUGCUUUUGUUCGGGAAUAAACCCCUCUACGUGUAGAGGGCUGAAUGUACCGAAAGAAUAAGGGACGGCUAACUUCGUGCCAGCAGCCGCGGUAAUACGAAGGUCCCAAGCGUUAUCCGGAUUUAUUGGGUUUAAAGGGUGCGUAGGCGGGUUGUUAAGUCAGUGGUGAAAGCCUACAGCUUAACUGUAGAAUUGCCAUUGAUACUGACGAUCUUGAGUGUGGUUGAGGUGGGCGGAAUGUAUCAUGUAGCGGUGAAAUGCUUAGAUAUGAUACAGAACACCGAUUGCGAAGGCAGCUCACUAAGCCAUUACUGACGCUGAGGCACGAAAGCGUGGGGAGCAAACAGGAUUAGAUACCCUGGUAGUCCACGCCCUAAACUAUGAUCACUCGAUGUUGGCGAUACACAGUCAGCGUCCAAGCGAAAGCAUUAAGUGAUCCACCUGGGGAGUACGACCGCAAGGUUGAAACUCAAAGGAAUUGACGG
Molecule: ribosomal RNA, 558 nt
Filed under: uncultured bacterium
Lineage: Bacteria
Description: bacterial SSU rRNA
Rfam family: Bacterial small subunit ribosomal RNA
Source: RNAcentral